UACGUAGGGAGCAAGCGUUGUCCGGAAUCAUUGGGCGUAAAGCGCGCGUAGGCGGCCCCGUAAGUCCGCUGUGAAAGUCAAAGGCUCAACCUUUGAAAGCCGGUGGAUACUGUGGGGCUAGAGUCCGGAAGAGGCGAGUGGAAUUCCUGGUGUAGCGGUGGAAUGCGCAGAUAUCAGGAGGAACACCAAUAGCGAAGGCAGCUCGCUGGGGCGGUACUGACGCUAAGGCGCGAAAGCGUGGGGAGCGAACAGG
RNAcentral lists this ribosomal RNA (253 nucleotides) under uncultured bacterium. Its description in RNAcentral is "partial 16S ribosomal RNA". It matches the Rfam family "Bacterial small subunit ribosomal RNA", at positions 524 to 776 of the family's 1533-position model. The record is from RNAcentral.